RNAcentral lists this ribosomal RNA (379 nucleotides) under uncultured eukaryote. RNAcentral's name for it is "partial 18S ribosomal RNA". It matches the Rfam family "Eukaryotic small subunit ribosomal RNA", at positions 592 to 976 of the family's 1831-position model. The record is from RNAcentral.
CAAUAGCGUAUAUUUAAGUUGUUGCAGUUAAAAAGCUCGUAGUUGGAUUUCGGAUUGGAUUUGCCGGUCCGUCGUUACGAUGUGCACUGGCCAGUCCUAUCUUGUUGUCGGGGACUAGCUCCUUGGAUUCACUUCCUGGGACUAGGAGCUGACGAGGUUACUUUGAGUAAAUUAGAGUGUUCAAAGCAAGCCUACGCUCUGAAUACAUUAGCAUGGAAUAACACGAUAGGACUCUGGCUUAUCUUGUUGGUCUGUGAGACCAGAGUAAUGAUUAAGAGGGACAGUCGGGGACAUUCGUAUUUCAUUGUCAGAGGUGAAAUUCUUGGAUUUAUGAAAGACGAACUUCUGCGAAAGCAUUUGUCAAGGAUGUUUUCAUUAA